GGCGGGGGCUCUGCAGCCGCGCGCUCGCACACUCGCUGUUCUCCAGCCUUGCACACCCAGACUAGCUGGCCGAGCCGGGUGCACCGUUGCCAGCAGCCCGCGGGGCAAACACGGCCGCUCGCUUCGGAGACCCAUGCCCGCAGGGCACUGCACACUUCGUAAAUGUUUUGCACUUUGGGGAGGCGGGACUGAAGCGGGGGUCCUAGGGAAAGGCCGGGCGCCUGCGGUUCCUGGGGUCCUGCAGCCGCGCGAGACGGGCCGCGGCUGUGGGUCUGCAAGGCUGUCUGCCCGGCUCGAGAGGCCCCCGCCCCUUUCCAGGCGUCUGGUGCUGGGGCCGGGCCGGAGCAGCUGGCGGAGAGGUCGCGCUGAGAGCUCCUGCCCUUGCCGCGGCCCACAGGUUGCCAACAGGUUUGCUCGCACGACCCCUCCGCCAGAGCUUCCCUAAGUCACCCCACAUUUUCCUCGGCUAGCCACUCUUCCCAUCUUGCCUCCCCUCGGGACCUCAGGCGCCCCCAAGCGCCCCGGGGGCACACCUCCUUCCGGCUGCCGAACCCGAGCCCCGCUCCAGCGGCGGGAGUCCGGCACUCGGGUCUCAGCCGCCUCGAAGGGGCCCUCGCGGAGCAGGAGUGCGGAGAACGCUCCUCCCAAACGCCCGCGGGGAGGGGCGUAGGCUGGCAAGCGAGGCUGGUGGCCUCCCCCGCGCCUCCGAUCCCGCCCCGCGCCCAACCCGGGUCCUGCUAAUCUCACCUGCUCCACCUGUCGCCGUUAUUUAUCUCAGCGUGUGCGCAAGAAUUGUUUUAGGUCGGCCCGUGGGAGCGCAGACAAUCGCAGCAGCUAACAAGCGGGGAGACUACGAACCCCCCCUCCCUUCGCCCCCUGGAACUGCUCAAUAUCUUGAUGGUGGUUCCACGGCUCUAUGCAUUUGUCAAAACUCAAAGAUCUCCACACUCCAAAAAGAGAUACACAGCCACCAUGCCUCUUCCCGCCUCCCCCAUCCAGUCAGAAAAGGAAGUGGUGCCAAUUGAGGGAGUGAUGAGGGAUAGCUUCUUCUAUUGUCAUCCUCUUCCCAUUAUUAGAGGGUUCCUGGAAGUCUCUACCCCUUCCAGGAAGCUCUCAGGGAGUGAUCACAGCGACUGUGGCUCUUCCUGGCUUUGCCCAUUCUGAGCUGAAUGUGUACUUCUCCAUGUCGUGCGAAACUGCGCUCUGAUUUUCCAAUUAGCUGUUCCAACACCAAACAGCAGUCAAUUGCUCCUCUUUGGCUUUGGGGUGAGUUACUGGGGACAGAGAACUGCACUGACUCAGCUGACAUUCUCUUGACUUUGCCCUCUCUAAACUCACACACUAGCCUGGAGGAGAAAGAAGGUUCAUGAUGGCGGGGUGGGGGGAACAGAGGACCAAGUUAGCCAGGCUGGGAUUGAACAUUUGCUGUAGCUAAUCCACUUGUGAAUACUCUGCAGCUAAUUGUAUGCAGUGUAAAUACCUUGACAGCCUGUUUGUGUGUGUCUGUAAAUUCAGCUGUCUCCUCCCCCAAGUGUGCCCUGCCUGCUGCCUCAACACAGCCCAGUGUCUGACAAUGGGAGGCAACCUCAGAGAAGGGAAAGAGCCCUAGACAUCAGUCCUGCGUCCCAGUCCUAACCUCUCUAGGCCUCAGUUUCCCCAGAUGUAAACUAGGUAAGAUCCCUGUCUUCCUAGAGAGAAGUGGAGUAAUAAGAAUAACAGCUGACACCACAUGCCAGGCACUGUAUUAACUAUUUAAUCUUCAUAACCAUUAUGUAAGACAGGGCUGUUAUUCUCAUGGAAUGACAUAGGAAGAUGUAGUGACUCACUCAGCUGCUAAGGGGCCAAACUGAGCUUUGACCUCAGUAGCUUGGCUCGGCGACCUUGCCCUCUCCCACUGUUCUAUACUGAAGAGGGGCAAGGGCCUAGGUAUCAAAUAAUGUUUCCACAAGAACUGUUUCCUGUUCCCUUUACAGACACAGAGAACAAUACUCUGGCCCCCAAAUUGCACCAAGGGCAGGGGGGACAUGAGAGCUAGACUGCUAGACCUGACAUGGGCCAUAGGGCACAGGAUGAGCCUGAGGUCAGGCUAUCUGGAGGCUUGGUGGUCAGCACCCAGCUGCCAAGUCUUCGGUUCCACUCAAGAUCAU
RNAcentral lists this long non-coding RNA (2147 nucleotides) under Homo sapiens (human). RNAcentral describes it as "HSALNT0105710". The record is from RNAcentral. Lineage: Eukaryota; Metazoa; Chordata; Mammalia; Primates; Hominidae.